RNAcentral lists this ribosomal RNA (259 nucleotides) under uncultured bacterium. Its description in RNAcentral is "partial 16S ribosomal RNA". It matches the Rfam family "Bacterial small subunit ribosomal RNA", at positions 80 to 354 of the family's 1533-position model. The record is from RNAcentral.
CUAAUAAUUCUCUAGUGGCGCACGGGUGAGUAACACGUGAGUAACCUGCCCCCGAGAGCGGGAUAGCCCUGGGAAACUGGGAUUAAUACCGCAUAGUAUCGAAAGAUUAAAGCAGCAAUGCGCUUGGGGAUGGGCUCGCGGCCUAUUAGUUAGUUGGUGAGGUAACGGCUCACCAAGGCGAUGACGGGUAGCCGGUCUGAGAGGAUGUCCGGCCACACUGGAACUGAGACACGGUCCAGACACCUACGGGAGGCAGCAG